GGGGAAUAUUGGACAAUGGGGGGAACCCUGAUCCAGCCAUGCCGCGUGUGUGAAGAAGGCCUUCGGGUUGUAAAGCACUUUUGUCCGGAAAGAAAUCGCACUUACUAAUAUUAGGUGUGGAUGACGGUACCGGAAGAAUAAGGACCGGCUAACUACGUGCCAGCAGCCGCGGUAAUACGUAGGGUCCAAGCGUUAAUCGGAAUUACUGGGCGUAAAGCGUGCGCAGGCGGUUGUGCAAGACCGAUGUGAAAUCCCCGGGCUUAACCCAUAUCAGCGUUCAAAACUGCUUUUCUUGAGUGAAGUAGAGGUUGGCGGAAUUCCUAGUGUAGCGGUGAAAUGCGUAGAUAUUAGGAGGAACACCAGUGGCGAAGGCGGCCAACUGGGCUUUUACUGACGCUGAGGCUCGAAAGCGUGGGGAGCAAACA
RNAcentral lists this ribosomal RNA (425 nucleotides) under uncultured Ralstonia sp. Its description in RNAcentral is "bacterial SSU rRNA". It matches the Rfam family "Bacterial small subunit ribosomal RNA", at positions 356 to 774 of the family's 1533-position model. The record is from RNAcentral. Lineage: Bacteria; Pseudomonadati; Pseudomonadota; Betaproteobacteria; Burkholderiales; Burkholderiaceae.